GUUUCUUACAAUUCUCCCUUGCUCCUUCCCCCUCCCUCCCACUGCUUUCUUCCAUUUUCCUUUUGUCUAUUCUUCCAGGGCCCUCUACAGACAAAUUCUUGAAAGGGAUACACCAGCUUCAGGAAUCCAACAUGAAGGUAGCAACAGAUCCAGGCUCCUUGCUUUUCUGAUCCUGCAGCAAAAUACUACGAGGGCACAAUUUUCUCCUCCUUGGCUGGCGAGAGAGGUGAGAAAAGAACAAGACAAAGAGAACAGGUUUGUCCUCAUCUGUGACAUAACAAGUGACUUGGCACUAGUGUUGGGNAGGCAGGAAGAGGAAAGAAUUUAUACAGUUUUCAAGAUCUGUUUCAUACUAUACAGAGCAGAAAGUCUGCGCUUGCCCCUGAAAAGGGAGCU
Molecule: long non-coding RNA, 396 nt
Filed under: Salvator merianae (Argentine black and white tegu)
Lineage: Eukaryota; Metazoa; Chordata; Lepidosauria; Squamata; Teiidae
Description: lncRNA (ENSSMRG00000021989.1)
Source: RNAcentral